CAUGUCCUUUAGUUUUUAUUUAAGGUUUAACCUGCUCAAUGAAUUUUAAAUAGCCGCAGUAUAUUGACUGUGCAAAGGUAGCAUAAUAAUUAGUCUUUUAAUUGAGGUUUGGAAUGAAUGGUUGAACGAGGAAACUACUUUAUUUUUAAGAAUUUUAUUUAAUUUAUAUUUUUGGUUAAAAUACCAAGAUUUUUAAAAGGGACGAUAAGACCCUAUAGAUCUUCAUAAAAUCUUAUUUUUUUCCUUUUUUUGUUGUUUUUUUGGAUUUAUUAAUAUUUUAUUUGGUUGGGGUGAUAAAUAAAAUUUUUAACUUUAUUUUUUUUUUACAAUUAUUUUUGUUUUUUUGAUCCUUAAAUUUAGAUUAUAAGAAUAAGAUACCUUAGGGAUAACAGCAUUAUACAUCUGGAGAGUUCUUAUUGAUAGAUGUGUUUGUGACCUCGAUGUUGGAUUAAAAUUUAUUUGUGGGGUAGUUUUA
This 475-nucleotide ribosomal RNA is filed under the name Geisha sp. NS-2013. Its description in RNAcentral is "partial 16S ribosomal RNA". The record is from RNAcentral. Lineage: Eukaryota; Metazoa; Arthropoda; Insecta; Hemiptera; Flatidae.